Molecule: ribosomal RNA, 778 nt
Filed under: uncultured bacterium
Lineage: Bacteria
Description: bacterial SSU rRNA
Rfam family: Bacterial small subunit ribosomal RNA
Source: RNAcentral
AGAGUUUGAUCCUGGCUCAGAGUGAACGCUGGCGGUAGGCCUAACACAUGCAAGUCGAACGGCAGCACAGAGGAGCUUGCUCCUUGGGUGGCGAGUGGCGGACGGGUGAGGAAUACAUCGGAAUCUACUCUGUCGUGGGGGAUAACGUAGGGAAACUUACGCUAAUACCGCAUACGACCUACGGGUGAAAGCAGGGGAUCUUCGGACCUUGCGCGAUUGAAUGAGCCGAUGUCGGAUUAGCUAGUUGGCGGGGUAAAGGCCCACCAAGGCGACGAUCCGUAGCUGGUCUGAGAGGAUGAUCAGCCACACUGGAACUGAGACACGGUCCAGACUCCUACGGGAGGCAGCAGUGGGGAAUAUUGGACAAUGGGCGCAAGCCUGAUCCAGCCAUACCGCGUGGGUGAAGAAGGCCUUCGGGUUGUAAAGCCCUUUUGUUGGGAAAGAAAUCCAGCCGGCUAAUACCUGGUUGGGAUGACGGUACCCAAAGAAUAAGCACCGGCUAACUUCGUGCCAGCAGCCGCGGUAAUACGAAGGGUGCAAGCGUUACUCGGAAUUACUGGGCGUAAAGCGUGCGUAGGUGGUCGUUUAAGUCCGUUGUGAAAGCCCUGGGCUCAACCUGGGAACUGCAGUGGAUACUGGACGACUAGAGUGUGGUAGAGGGUAGCGGAAUUCCUGGUGUAGCAGUGAAAUGCGUAGAGAUCAGGAGGAACAUCCAUGGCGAAGGCAGCUACCUGGACCAACAUUGACACUGAGGCACGAAAGCGUGGGGAGCAAACAG